Hemicordylus capensis (graceful crag lizard) is the source of this 2197-nucleotide long non-coding RNA. RefSeq lists it as uncharacterized. The transcript is spliced from 2 exons. The record is from RefSeq and is a predicted model, not a curated record. NCBI's taxonomy places the organism in Eukaryota, Metazoa, Chordata, Lepidosauria, Squamata, Cordylidae.
CUGACGUAGGUGCACAGAAGCUCUGCGCCUGCGCUAAGAUGAAAACAGGCGUGGAGGAGGCGUAGUAUCCUAAUGGGAGGGAAUGUUGCUGCUUCAAGUUGGCUUAUUGAGAGGCUCUUCGUGGGGUUGUCUUGCUGGACUCCCACAGCGUUUCGUGUGACUGCCGGGCCAUUUCUGCACCACGCCGCUGUUGGUCCAUGGAAUUGAAUUCUGGAAUUCAUUCCUCUUUAUUGUGGGCUUAAGCAAGCCUAAAUCUGAAUAAGAUCGGGCGCAAAGGUUUCAAUCCUAUGCAAGUUUAUUUAGGAAAAUGAGGAGGAUCGUAUCUCAGCAGGGAGCGCAUUCCACAAUCUCGGGGCAGCAACCGAAAAGGCCCAUUUCUCUGUAGCCACCAGACGAGUCGGCGGUAACUGGAGACAGACCUCCUCAGAUGACCUCAAUGAGCGGUGUGACUCAUAGUGAAGAAAACACUCCCUUAAAUUAAAUGCUAGUUUCCCAACAAUAGCAGAUCCCACACUGCAUGGCAAACCACGUUUGAAACUUUGCGGCACAUCAAAGGCAGUUUAUGAUCCGAAAAGGGGCUUUGCUUUGCUUCAGAGCAAAAUUACAAAAUUACUCAGGGUGUGUAUGUAUAGAGCAACUCUCUCAUUCCCACCAAUAUGUAGGAGGUGGAUCCAAUUGGACAAACUGGCCUUGACUGUACUUCGAGACUGUUUGCUCUAGAGCAGUUGCACCUUUAUUUUCACCCUGCCUACUGUCAUGUCUUGUGGGCUGAGGAAGGCCACUGUCUUCUUACUCUCAGGUACAUUUCCAAAUUUCUAAGUGUCACUUGGCCACUUAUUGAAAUUAGUUGGGUAUUUUUUUUUAAGUGCUACCUGUGUGUGUUGGUCUUUUGGAAGCCUACCACUGUAUUCCAAAGGAGGUCUCAUCCUCAUCCUCUCGUAAUGGAAUAAAUUGGCUGAAAUGACUAAGGACAGCCUGUGGUGAAUCAGAUUCGGCAUGCAUCUAGUCCAGCACUCUCUCCAGCAGUGGCCACAAGCAGAGCAAGGUGGAGAAGGCGGCCCCACUUCAGAAUACUGGGCAAUUAAUGGGAUACUGUCUUUGUAUAAUGGAGAUUGCAUCUAACUGCUAAACUGUUUCAGACUUCAUUUUAAAAAAUACAAGAGAGUGAGCACCAUGCAUCCAGAGUUCGCUAAUCACUUUGUAAGAUUCAAUGAGAGAUUAGCUAAGCAUGAACUUAAAACCAGUAGGAGAGUUUUAGGUUCAUGUGUAGCUAACAUCUCACUGAAACAAGAAUCAAUAAAAUGUAAAAGUGCUUAUCUUUGAUUGAAUUGAUCAAGAAGAUUUUAUAGGAUGUCCAUCCUCCUUUGUGUGUGUAUAAAGUAGGUCCUGCUGAGUUCAAAGAGAUUUCCUCCCAAGUAUAUGCAGAGGAUAGCAACUUAAAAUCCACUGAAAUCUAAAUACCCUAUUUUUAUACAGGACUGCAACCACUGAGAGUGCAUUCCAUUGGUCUUGCAUGUACUUUCCCUUAUGUACUAUACAUGAAAAAUGGCAGUUACUCUCUGGGAGUAAUCCAGCCACAUGUCUGCAUGCAUCAUCAAGUAUACACAGUGUUCCUAUGAAGAAAUCUCUCCAUUUUGAUUCAGUCAUAACCAAAUAUUUUAGGUGAAAAAAGAGUCCAAGUACUCUGAAAUAAGGCUACAUUAUACCAAUAUACAGUGUUAUAAUGUGUGUUUUAAAAUACACUUUUAUUUUGUUUAGGGUCUUCUUGUUGAAAGGGUGGGAAAACCUUUAUACAUGUUUGAAAAUGAAGAAAUAUAAAUAACAGGGCUCAUCCUGAAGACAGUGACAAAUCUUCCAAUGGCUUAAAUGUAACAAGAUCUCUAUUCUGCACUUUAAGAAUAGGGGGGAAAGAUCAUUCUAGAUUAACUGUCCUGAAAAUAUUGAGGGCUCAAUCCAGAACUAGAGAAGUGAAUACGAGAUUUGCCUUUUUAUUAAUUGGGAUGUGGAUUGCUCUCUGGAAUAUAUAUUUCCUGGCUUUCUAUUUGUUGAUGUUAAAUGCAUACUUCUUAGUCAGGAGGUAGUUCUGUGGAACGAAUAAUCCAUAAAUUUGGUUUUUAUGCCUGUCCUUUUUGGUGUGCAUUUCUCCUUUGUUCCAGUAGGUGGUGCUUUAUGAUUAAAGCAUGAGUACAGCAACUUG